GACGAACGCUGGCGGCGUGCUUAACACAUGCAAGUCGAACGGAAAGGCCCUGCUUUUGUGGGUUGCUCGAGUGGGGAACGGGUGAGUAACACGUGAGUAACCUGCACUUGACUUUGGGAUAACUUCAGGAAAAUGGGGCUAAUACCGGAUAGGAGCUCCUGCUGCAUGGUGGGGAUUGGAAAGUUUCGGCGGUUGGGGAUGGUAUCGCGGCUUAUCAGCUUGUUGGUGGGGUAGUGGAUUACCAAGGCUUUGACGGGUAGCCGGCCUGAGAGGGUGACCGGCCACAUUGGUACUGAGAUACGGCCCAGACGCCUACGGGAGGCAGCAGUGGGGAAUAUGGCACAAUGGGCGGAAGCCUGAGGCAGCAACGCCGCGUGCGGGAUGACGGCCUUCUGGUUGUAAACCGCUUUCGCCUGUGACGAAGCGUGAGUGACGGUAAUGGGUAAAGAAGCACCGGCUAACUACGUG
Molecule: ribosomal RNA, 468 nt
Filed under: uncultured bacterium
Lineage: Bacteria
Description: partial 16S ribosomal RNA
Rfam family: Bacterial small subunit ribosomal RNA
Source: RNAcentral